AUUUUCAUGUAGAUAUCGAUGAUUGUAGCCCGAAUCCUUGUCAGAACAAUGGUGUCUGUACAGACUUGAUCAACGACUAUAGCUGUGCUUGCAAACCGGGCUGGACAGGAAAACAAUGCGAUACCGAUAUCGAUGAAUGCCAAUCGAACCCWUGCACACACGGUGAAUGCAAGAACGGUGUCAAUGACUACACUUGCACGUGUAAGCCUGGUUAUGAAGGGAAGAACUGCGACAAAGAUCGUGAUGAAUGUCAUUCCAAUCCUUGCAAGAACCAAGGGACCUGUAUCGACCAAGUGAACAGCUAUCGG
Molecule: long non-coding RNA, 308 nt
Organism: Exaiptasia diaphana
Lineage: Eukaryota; Metazoa; Cnidaria; Anthozoa; Actiniaria; Aiptasiidae
Exons: 3
Source: RefSeq, a predicted model, not a curated record